This 743-nucleotide ribosomal RNA is filed under the name uncultured Flavobacteriales bacterium. RNAcentral describes it as "bacterial SSU rRNA". It matches the Rfam family "Bacterial small subunit ribosomal RNA", at positions 28 to 772 of the family's 1533-position model. The record is from RNAcentral. Lineage: Bacteria; Pseudomonadati; Bacteroidota; Flavobacteriia; Flavobacteriales.
GAUGAACGCUAGCGGCAGGCUUAACACAUGCAAGUCGAGGGGUAGAGUUCUUCGGAAUUUGAGACCGGCGCACGGGUGCGUAACGCGUAUGCAAUCUGCCUUCCACAGAGGGAUAGCCCAGAGAAAUUUGGAUUAAUACCUCAUAGCAUUACAGGAUGGCAUCAUCCGGUAAUUAAAGUCACAACGGUGGAAGAUGAGCAUGCGUCCCAUUAGCUAGUUGGUAAGGUAACGGCUUACCAAGGCGACGAUGGGUAGGGGUCCUGAGAGGGAGAUCCCCCACACUGGUACUGAGACACGGACCAGACUCAUACGGGAGGCAGCAGUGAGGAAUAUUGGUCAAUGGGCGCAAGCCUGAACCAGCCAUGCCGCGUGCAGGAUGACGGUCCUAUGGAUUGUAAACUGCUUUUGUACGGGAAGAAACACUGAUUCGUGAAUCAGCCUGACGGUACCGUAAGAAUAAGGAUCGGCUAACUCCGUGCCAGCAGCCGCGGUAAUACGGAGGAUCCAAGCGUUAUCCGGAAUCAUUGGGUUUAAAGGGUCUGUAGGCGGUCUUGUAAGUCAGUGGUGAAAGCCCAUCGCUCAACGGUGGAACGGCCAUUGAUACUGCAGGACUUGAAUUACCGGGAAGUAACUAGAAUAUGUAGUGUAGCGGUGAAAUGCUUAGAUAUUACAUGGAAUACCAAUUGCGAAGGCAGGUUACUACCGGUGGAUUGACGCUGAUGGACGAAAGCGUGGGGAGCGAA